This 253-nucleotide ribosomal RNA is filed under the name uncultured bacterium. Its description in RNAcentral is "partial 16S ribosomal RNA". It matches the Rfam family "Bacterial small subunit ribosomal RNA", at positions 524 to 776 of the family's 1533-position model. The record is from RNAcentral.
GACAGAGGGGGCGAGCGUUGUCCGGGGCCACUGGGCGUAAAGCGCGCGCAGGCGGCAACCUAAGUGUCGUGUGAAAGCCCCCGGCUCAACCGGGGGAGGCCAUGGCAAACUGGGUCGCUCGAGCUGCGGAGAGGCCCCUCGAAUUGCCGGUGUAGCGGUGAAAUGCGUAGAGAUCGGCAGGAAGACCAAGGGGGAAACCAGGGGGCUGGCCGCAGGCUGACGCUGAGGCGCGACAGCGUGGGGAGCAAACCGG